GAUAGCUCAGUUGGUUAGAGCGUGGUGCUGAUAACGCCAAGGUUGCAGGAUCGAUCCCUGUGAGGUACA
RNAcentral lists this transfer RNA (69 nucleotides) under Podarcis lilfordi (Lilford's wall lizard). RNAcentral's name for it is "tRNA.Ile". The stretch from base 3 to 61 matches the Rfam family "tRNA", at positions 8 to 63 of the family's 71-position model. From Rfam's summary of the family: Transfer RNA (tRNA) molecules are approximately 80 nucleotides in length. The record is from RNAcentral. Lineage: Eukaryota; Metazoa; Chordata; Lepidosauria; Squamata; Lacertidae.